UCAUUCUGGUUUUAGUCCUUUUUUUUUUUUUUUCCUUAAUUAGGGACUUUUCUGCUACCUUUUUGUUAUUACAAACACAUGGAUAAGGUGUAUCUGUUUGUACAUGGAUGACAUUACCAAAACCAGGGUUACUCCUGAAGAUCUGCUUGCAUAUAUUUUUUCUGACAUGCACAUUCCUUGUGUUGAAAUUUGCAGCCAAUUUCUGUUGAUAUCUUAAUUUUAAAGGUGUAGAAGAAAUAGUUACUUCAGGUUACAUGGGCUUUUCCAAUAUUCUUUCCUUAUUCUGUCUUCUUUGAAAUAAUAAAAGGUAUUUUCAACCAUAUUCAGUGAUGUGAGUUGUUUCGUUCUACUUCUAGAAUAACGGCCCAGGAGAUAAAUUAUUGUAUUCUAGAGUCACUUCAUAACAAUAGAAGCUCUCAGGAACAUGGAAUAACCCAUACUCUUUUUACAGUGCCUGAUAUGGCUGAAGAAUGAUUGCACUAACUAGUGUAGCCAGGAAGCUUUUAAUACUCAGAAGAAACAUUGUCUGUGCUGUGCUUUACAGGUACUCUCUUAUAUGAUGUUUAGUUGUAGAGCAGUGGAGACCUGAAUCUCUAUCCGGAGUUAGUAAAGAUCUUUACAUGAUGCCUUAAUGUAUUUUCUUACAAAUUAAAAUAUUCUACUACAUAGUAAAAGAAGCUGUAGUUAAAUAUAAUCUGCAUUUGGGCAGUACACCAUCUAUUAGUUUUAUUCCAAAAUGUCAGAAAUGUGUUUGCUCUAACCCAUUGAUUAGACUUGCUUCACAGCAGUGUGGUUAUAUGAAAUUGCAUAUUUCAUCCCUAUAGUUAGAACUGUACAGAUUUUCCCUUAUCCAACAAGUUGGGAGAUUGCUCAGAAGCUGUGCGAGUUUUUUGCCUCUUCAGUCCUGAGAGAGGAUUGUUUUAAGAGAUUUUGUUUGCUUGUUUUAACAACAAAUAGCUGUUGUUUGGUAUGACCUCCUUUUGGCUCCCCAUCACCUGCUCUUGGGCUCAAUUUUCUCUUAGGUCAUGUUUAGUUAUUACUGCAUGUGCUUAAUAGAUAGAAUUCUCAUGUUUGAUGUGGAACAUAUAGUGGUUUGUGGGCAUAAUAACCACCCUCCAGCCUUCUAUUUUGCUGGUUUUCAGAUAUUAAUUUAAAUUAUCUGAUUCAGCCACUUUUUUGCCCUCAUUUUUAACGAGACACAGUAUGCAAAAUCAUGUAUGAGAAAUUGAGUGUAAUUGUUAUGAAAGAAAGGAAAGUGGGCAAGAAUUUUAAUUUCUGUGUAUCUUUGGAAAAGUAAAUAGACCAAGGUAAAGUACUUUCUGAAUAAAGCACAUAACUAUAUACAUAAUUAUAGCUCAAUGCCUAAACUAAGGUAAAAUUUUAUCUAAUUCAUUUAUUGUGCUAAGAAAACAAAAUGCUCCCAGGAUUCAAUGCAAGGUACCUUCUUCCAUACCACUGCUUCACUUUUUAAAUUAUUUAUAUAUUGCUGUUCUGCCUUUAGCCAGCUUCUUGACUUUUUUACAGUUCUAACAACCCCCAUUUCUUUUCCAGAUAGACUAGGGGCUUCCCAUCUGUGUUGUGGUCCCACGGGCACCAUAUGUAGAUUAUUACCAACCGCAGGAAUCUCUGUUACAUUAUCUGAAAUUUAAACAAAUGAAAAAAACAGUAAGUAGACAUCAAAGCAAAUAGAAAUUCACCACACCAGCACCUAUAGUGCUUGUUAACAUGGAUUUAAGUAUGGAGAAGUUGAAAUUAUUUCACAGCAUGAUGGCAAAAAGUCUUAAUACCAGACCUUGGGACUCUUAUUACUAUGACUCUGUAGGAUUUUCUUGAUUACAAAAGACAGAGAAGAAACAAAGUCUUGAAGCUGCCUGUGUAAAGCUGCCUAAAUCCUGUCAGUGAUUGCUAUGGAGCAGCAACAUGAAGCAGGUUUGAAGGAAGGCCUUUGCCAUGAUUUUAUGUUUACAUCUAUGCUGAAUCUUCAGAGUGUUCCUGUUCAUUCUCAGCUACACAAGGUCCAGAUUCAGUCCAGAGUUACACUAAACAUCUGUGUUUGCUUUUACUCUUAGCUUGUCCUUAGCUUCAAAUUCUGCUACUUCUGAGGAAGGGCUUGUGUGCCCUGAAGAUUGUGGGUUUUUUUCUUAUCUACACCAGCUGACCUAAAUAAACCAACAAACCUUAGAUUUAAGCAGCUUAUUAGAAGCCACAUAGUUCAUGGUUCAAAUUCUGGAUAGACCAAAGUCACUGGAAAUGCUACAAUUGCUAUUACUUUGCCCUUACUGUACCUCAGUACAGCCGGAAUUUCUCUUUUGGAACUGCUGAAGUGCUUCAAGUUAUACAUGUGUUUAAGUGCAUUCCUGAUCUACAGCCAGGGUGCUCAGCAUCUGUCAAAAUUCUUACGAAGUUAGACAGAUCAUGGUGACACACUGUGGUGCAAAAACUUUGAUUUUAUUGGGUAAGUUAGAAAAGUCAUUAUAACCUUUUUGUCUAAAGCCUGAUACUAAAUUACUUGGGAGGAAGGUAAAAAUACUCGUAGUUUAAGCCUUGAAAUAGUAACAUCUAAGUUAAUUUCUGUUUCCAAAUUUUGUGUGUCUAUUGACUAAUUUUCUCACUACUUUCCCCUUAAAUUGACUAGAAAAAGCAGAACACUUCCUGGCAUCACAGAGAUGUGGAUAAAUAUGCAGGAUAUUCGCUGAAUGUAGUGGCAACAUGGGUUGUAUUUUGUUGGUUUAUAUGAAAUGAAUAAUUACUCAGAGAAAAACAGAUAUAGUUUUACUUCAGGAAACAGCAGUUUAUAAUCCUUCACCUUCCAAAUAGGAACAAGUGAACCCAGCACAUAUCUGGUUCUACUCCAAUGCGCUUUUGUUUGCCUUGGCAUUUGCUUCACUUUUACGUAAAUUAGUCCAAGUUGCUUGGGUGGUGUUAAUCAUUCUGUUGUUUGUCUACAUGUUCAAUAUCCUUAAAGCUUGUAGUAGUAAUGGGCUGAUGUUUUUUUUUUCAAGUAGACUGGUUCACUUUCCUCAGUAUCGGUGCAAACUACAGAAAAUCAAUGGUGGCAAGUUAUUAAUUUUCAGUUUUCAUUGUGAAUUGAAUAACAUUAUGGUGUUUAGAUGAAUAAUACACUAUGUCUAAUGGUGCCUGGUAUUACAAAUUAUACUUUUAAUAUAAUCUUCCCUUUGAAAGCUAAGAAAUUUUGCCCUGAAGUAUGCCCUUGAUCUGUUUAAGUCUCACACAUAAAAAAAGAAAUCACAUGUACCUGAGGAGGAUUCUGACAUUAUUUUUCUCUGAAUAAAGUUUGUAGAAUCAAUUGUGUAACAGAAUAAAAUAUUUUUUUUUCUAAAAAAUGCAGUGUUAAAAUAGGCAUAAAAUCUAUUUGUAAAACAACACAAAAAUAUUUUUAGUACUAUUUUGUCUUUAAAAUGUUCUAGUUAGCAAUAGAAAUAAUAUGUAUUAGAUAAAUACUGUCAACAUUAUUAAUGCCAAAUCCUAGAUCCAUUGUAAGGAAAGAAGAAUGCUGUCAUCACUAUCUGCAAGACUCAGUUGUAACUUUGGAUUACACAGUGUUGAAGAAGGGGAGCUAGUGUAGAUGCACCAAUAAAGAGAAGUUGAAAAUCCACAGUCAAUGUAUAACUCAUCAUAAAAAUGCCCAGGGAGAUUUCUCUAAUAAAAAGGAGCAGGAACAUGAGCGGCAACAGAAGAACCUGUCUGCACUGCAUCUUGCAGCAGCUUGGACAGUCUCUUCAGAAGGUGCUGCACAUCCGUCUUUUACCAAGAUGAAGGCAUGGAUUCAGAGCAGUCACCUUAUGCCAGGCAAAGCACUGAGGAGACAGCUGACUGUGUCCAAUGACAAGUACAUAAUUAAAAGGUCAGUGAUAGAUGGAGAAUCAAACUUGACAAUCCUUUUUUACAUUUCAUUAAUGUCAGUAUACCAAUGAUAAAAUAAUUUAGGAAUGAAUUAUAGCAAAUCUCUUCUAAUUAGAGAUUACAGAUUGCCUCAAUGUGAUCUUGCGGAAGAUCAACAACCAAAGCUGAUUCUCUAAACGGUGUGAUUGUCCCUUAGUUAAACUAAAGCUGUGUGACUUGACAUGGGUAACUUUGACACAGAAUUACAUAAUUUGAAUA
This is a long non-coding RNA of Pezoporus occidentalis (night parrot), 4122 nucleotides long. RefSeq lists it as uncharacterized. The transcript is spliced from 4 exons. Lineage: Eukaryota; Metazoa; Chordata; Aves; Psittaciformes; Psittacidae. The record is from RefSeq and is a predicted model, not a curated record.